Molecule: long non-coding RNA, 956 nt
Filed under: Marmota monax (woodchuck)
Lineage: Eukaryota; Metazoa; Chordata; Mammalia; Rodentia; Sciuridae
Source: RNAcentral
GGAAGGGGUUUAUGUUACCUGUAACUCAAAGAGUCUUAACUAAGACUGCUGCUUUCAUGAUGGGCGUGCCUAGAAGGACUUGGUAAAAGGCGCCUCCCUCACUGUGCAGAGGAAGAGAGAGGAUGAGUGUGGUAUUAUUGAGGCCUCUGCUUUGGAUCAUGAAUCCUCAACCCUGAGGAGAAACUGAAGCUUCUGGAUAUGGAUGGAUCAACCCAGGGUGGGAGGAACUUAAGAUAUGCCAAAGAAGACUUGAAUCUUUCUGCCAAAGUCAUUCAAUUUAUACUUUGACCAAACCAGGAGACUACAUUCUCACUCCCAAACAAUACCAAAUGGCAGCAGGGAAUGGCACAGGGGAGAGUCCUGUGUUUGCAGGUAGCUCACAGUAAAGUUUCACCUGCUCCCCAGGCUCCCAGCUUGCAGAUGAGCCUCAAGUUUACACCAGAGAGUAUACAAGAUCGCUAUUUGGAUACCACACACCACUUUGCCAGUUUCCGUCCUCUUCAAUUAUUUACCGCUUAAUUGCCUGCAUUGAAACAGAAUCUGGAAACACAGAGUGAUAUGUGGGCUUAUUUGCAAGCUAGAGAAGAAGAACUCAAGUCCAAUGAAAUACCUGGAGCAGAAACAUGUCAUGGCUCUCUGGCAUUCUCUUGCCUUGGGAAGGCGGUGAGCGCAGGGCUGGGAACCAUCAGCACAGAGAGACAGAGUCACUCCUGGGCUGGAAGAGUCUUGCAACUCUUGGCCACAGUCUCUUUUCAGAUCUGUCAGGACUUUCUCCUCAAUGGUUAUGUCACUGAGAGCCCUGCAUCUUGGUUUCAUCUGCAAAAGACAGACUGCAAAGGGGAAUGGAAGGGAAAAUAAGCUUCUCUUUAGAUUUAAAAGAUCACUAUCAUAAAUUUUACUUUCACCAUGUACUUAACAUAGGAAGAAAUAUUAGUAGCUAUGAAAAUAAGAAAAAC